CCUCGUGAUGAUAGCGACGGUGUAACACCUGUAAACAUACCGAACACAGAAGUUAAGCCCGUCCACGCCUAUGGUACUUGUCUGGAGACGGACUGGGAGAGCGGGUAGUCGCGGGGU
Anaerofustis stercorihominis DSM 17244 is the source of this 117-nucleotide ribosomal RNA. The record is from Rfam. NCBI's taxonomy places the organism in Bacteria, Bacillati, Bacillota, Clostridia, Eubacteriales, Eubacteriaceae.